CGCGCUGGGCUCGACCAAUCAGAGAGUGUAAACAAACCAACUUGAAUACCCACAAUUACGUGCGGUUAUGGUGGUGCAUUAUAUGCAAAUUGUAUAAACAUGAAAACGACAUUUGCUGCUGCUGGGUGCUUGUCAUCCAGCAAGCAAGGCAUCAAAUUCUUCAGCUUUCCAAGGGAUCCAGCAAGUGUGGUGCUGUGGUGAAUACCUGGCAACAGCUGUUUGAUGAUCACCUUGUGAACACAUUUGAAGUAUGGUUUGAACAAUAAUCCAACUGUGGGACAGUUUGUAGAUGCCCUGAAGACUAACAUCAUCAGUGCACUUGCUAUCAGAGGUCUGUGUGGAACUAGUUGUCAGAAGAUGAUCAGAGUUCAUUCUGCCCUGUAUCUGAAAAUAAUUAUAUUUCAGUCAAGAACUGUGUGGGAAAUUCUUUUCUGACU
Molecule: long non-coding RNA, 437 nt
Organism: Cryptotermes secundus
Lineage: Eukaryota; Metazoa; Arthropoda; Insecta; Blattodea; Kalotermitidae
Exons: 3
Source: RefSeq, a predicted model, not a curated record